This 1391-nucleotide ribosomal RNA is filed under the name synthetic construct. RNAcentral describes it as "bacterial SSU rRNA". It matches the Rfam family "Bacterial small subunit ribosomal RNA". The record is from RNAcentral. RNAcentral also lists the same sequence under 2 other names.
AGAGUUUGAUCCUGGCUCAGGACGAACGCUGGCGGCGUGCUUAACACAUGCAAGUCGAACGAAGCAUUUUGAAGGAAUUCUUCGGAAGGAAUUCAACUUGACUUAGUGGCGGACGGGUGAGUAACGCGUGAGCAACCUGCCUACAAGAGGGGGACAACAGUUGGAAACGACUGCUAAUACCGCAUAAGACCACGCUAUCGCAUGGUAGAGAGGUCAAAGAUUUAUCGCUUGUAGAUGGGCUCGCGUCUGAUUAGCUGGUUGGUGAGGUAAUGGCUCACCAAGGCAACGAUCAGUAGCCGACCUGAGAGGGUGAUCGGCCACACUGGAACUGAGACACGGUCCAGACUCCUACGGGAGGCAGCAGUGGGGAAUAUUGGGCAAUGGGGGCAACCCUGACCCAGCAACGCCGCGUGAGGGAAGAAGGUUUUCGGAUUGUAAACCUCUGUCCUUGGGGACGAAGAAGUGACGGUACCCAAGGAGGAAGCUCCGGCUAACUACGUGCCAGCAGCCGCGGUAAUACGUAGGGAGCGAGCGUUGUCCGGAAUUACUGGGCGUAAAGGGUGCGUAGGCGGUUUGGUAAGUCAGAUGUGAAAUACCCGGGCUUAACCCGGGGGCUGCAUCUGAUACUGUCAGACUUGAGUGCAGGAGAGGAAAGCGGAAUUCCUAGUGUAGCGGUGAAAUGCGUAGAUAUUAGGAGGAACACCAGUGGCGAAGGCGGCUUUCUGGACUGUAACUGACGCUGAGGCACGAAAGCGUGGGGAGCAAACAGGAUUAGAUACCCUGGUAGUCCACGCCGUAAACGAUGGAUACUAGGUGUAGGCAUCAUAAGAUGUCUGUGCCGCAGCAAACGCAUUAAGUAUCCCGCCUGGGGAGUACGACCGCAAGGUUGAAACUCAAAGGAAUUGACGGGGGCCCGCACAGGCAGCGGAGCAUGUUGUUUAAUUUGAAGCAACGCGAAGAACCUUACCAUGUCUUGACAUCGAUCUAAUCCUCUAGAGAUAGAGAGUGCCUUCGGGCAAGAGAAGACAGGUGGUGCAUGGUUGUCGUCAGCUCGUGUCGUGAGAUGUUGGGUUAGGUCCCGCAACGAGCGCAACCCUUAUGGUCAGUUACUAACAAGUAAUGGUGAGGACUCUGACAAGACUGCCGGGGACAACUCGGAGGAAGGUGGGGAGGACGUCAAAUCAUCAUGCCCCUUAUGACAUGGGCUACAAACGUGCUACAAUGGUGGUUACAAAGAGGAGCGAGCGUGUAAGCGUAAGCGGAUCUCAAAAAAGCCAUCUCAGUUCGGAUUGUGGGCUGCAACCCGCCCACAUGAAGUUGGAGUUGCUAGUAAUCGCGGAUCAGAAUGCCGCGGUGAAUACGUUCCCGGGCCUUGCACACACCGCCCGUCA